This 465-nucleotide ribosomal RNA is filed under the name uncultured bacterium. RNAcentral describes it as "partial 16S ribosomal RNA". It matches the Rfam family "Bacterial small subunit ribosomal RNA", at positions 28 to 507 of the family's 1533-position model. The record is from RNAcentral.
GACGAACGCUGGCGGCGUGCUUAACACAUGCAAGUCGAACGGAAAGGCCCCUUUGGGGGUCCUCGAGUGGCGGACGGGUGCGUAACACGUGGGUAACCUGCCCUUUACUUCGGGAUAACUUCAGGAAACUGGGGCUAAUACCGGUUAGGAAUCAUUCCUGCAUGGUGGGGGUUGGAAAGCUUGGGCGGGUUUGGAUGGACUCGCGGGGUAUCGGCUUGUUGGUGGGGUAGUGGCUUACCGAGGCGUUGACGGGUAGCCGGCCAGAGAGUGUGACCGGCGACACUGGGACUGAGAGAAGGCCCAGACGCGUACGGGAGGAAGAAGGGGGGAAGACUGAACAAUGGGCGGCAGCCUGAUGCAGAAACGCCGCGGGCGGGAUGACGGUUUUCGGGUUGAAAACCGGUUUCAGCAGGGGCGAAGCUUGUGGUGACGGUACCUGAAGAAGAAGCACCGGCUAACUACGUG